This 301-nucleotide ribosomal RNA is filed under the name uncultured bacterium. RNAcentral's name for it is "partial 16S ribosomal RNA". It matches the Rfam family "Bacterial small subunit ribosomal RNA", at positions 509 to 807 of the family's 1533-position model. The record is from RNAcentral.
CAGUCGCCGCGGUAAAACGUAGGUGGCAAGCGUUGUCCGGAAUUAUUGGGCGUAAAGGGCUCGCAGGCGGUUUCUUAAGUCUGAUGUGAAAGCCCCCGGCUCAACCGGGGAGGGUCAUUGGAAACUGGGAAACUUGAGUGCAGAAGAGGAGAGUGGAAUUCCACGUGUAGCGGUGAAAUGCGUAGAGAUGUGGAGGAACACCAGUGGCGAAGGCGACUCUCUGGUCUGUAACUGACGCUGAGGAGCGAAAGCGUGGGGAGCGAACAGGAUUAGAUACCCCUGUAGUCCCUGUCUCUUAUAC